GUGCCAGCAGCCGCGGUAAUACAGAGGGUGCAAGCGUUGUUCGGAAUCAUUGGGCGUAAAGGGCGCGUAGGCGGUGUUGUAAGUCGGAUGUGAAAGCCCACAGCUUAACUGUGGAAGUGCAUUCGAAACUGCGACACUGGAGUCUCGGAGAGGGUGGUGGAAUUCCCAGUGUAGAGGUGAAAUUCGUAGAUAUUGGGAGGAACAUCGGUGGCGAAGGCGACCACCUGGCUGAAGACUGACGCUGAGGCGCGAAAGCGUGGGGAUCAAACAGGAUUAGAUACCCUGGUAGUCCACGCCGUAAACGAUGGGUACUCGCCGUUAUGGGUAUUGACCCCUGUAGUGGCUAAGCUAACGCAUUAAGUACCCCGCCUGGGAAGUACGGCCGCAAGGCUAAA
RNAcentral lists this ribosomal RNA (395 nucleotides) under uncultured bacterium. RNAcentral describes it as "partial 16S ribosomal RNA". It matches the Rfam family "Bacterial small subunit ribosomal RNA", at positions 505 to 898 of the family's 1533-position model. The record is from RNAcentral.